RNAcentral lists this ribosomal RNA (893 nucleotides) under uncultured bacterium. RNAcentral describes it as "bacterial SSU rRNA". It matches the Rfam family "Bacterial small subunit ribosomal RNA", at positions 8 to 916 of the family's 1533-position model. The record is from RNAcentral.
AGAGUUUGAUCAUGGCUCAGGAUAAACGCUGGCGGCGUGCAUUAGACAUGCAAGUCGAACGAACGACCUCGGGCUUNCCCCGAGGAAGUUAGUGGCGAACGGCUGAGUAACGCGUGGGUGACCUGCCCAGAAGUGGGGAAUAACUGCCCGAAAGGGUGGCAAAUACCGCAUGUGGUCAUGAGUUCGAUCUCUUGACCAAAGCCUUCGGGCGCUUUUGGAGGGGCCUGCGUUCGAUUAGCUCGUUGGUGAGGUAACGGCUCACCAAGGCGACGAUCGAUAGGUGGUCUGAGAGGAUGAACACCCAGACUGGGACUGAGACACGGCCCAGACAACUACGGUUGGCAGCAGUCGGGAAUUUUGCCCAAUGGGGGAAACCCUGAGGCAGCAACGCCGCGUGAGGGAUGAAGGCCUUCGGGUUGUAAACCUCUUUUCUCAGGGACGAUAAUGACGGUACCUGAGGAAUAAGCCACGGCUAACUACGUGCCAGCAGCCGCGGUAAUACGUAGGUGGCAAGCGUUGUCCGGAUUUACUGGGCGUAAAGAGCGCGCAGGCGGCCAGGUAAGUCGAAUGUGAAAGCCCCCGGCUCAACUGGGGAGGGUCGUUCGAUACUGCCUGGCUCGAAGAUAGGGGAGGGAAGCGGAAUUUCAGGUGUAGUGGUGAAAUGCGUAGAUAUCUGAAGGAACACCAGUGGCGAAGGCGGCUUUCUGGCCUAUUCUUGACGCUGAGGCGCGAAAGCUAGGGGAGCGAACGGGAUUAGAUACCCCGGUAGUCCUAGCCGUAAACGAUGAACACUAGAUGUUGGUGGUAUCAACCCCGCCAGUGUCGUAGCUAACGCAUUAAGUGUUCCGUCUGGGGAGUACGGCCGCAAGGCUAAAACUCAAAUGAAUUGACGG